This 442-nucleotide ribosomal RNA is filed under the name uncultured Bacteroidota bacterium. Its description in RNAcentral is "bacterial SSU rRNA". It matches the Rfam family "Bacterial small subunit ribosomal RNA", at positions 224 to 663 of the family's 1533-position model. Lineage: Bacteria; Pseudomonadati; Bacteroidota. The record is from RNAcentral.
GAUGAGCAUGCGUCCCAUUAGCUUGUUGGUAAGGUAACGGCUUACCAAGGCAACGAUGGGUAGGGGUCCUGAGAGGGAGAUCCCCCACACUGGUACUGAGACACGGACCAGACUCCUACGGGAGGCAGCAGUGAGGAAUAUUGGUCAAUGGGCGCAAGCCUGAACCAGCCAUGCCGCGUGCAGGAUGAAGCAUCUAUGGUGUGUAAACUGCUUUUGUACGAGAAGAAACACUCCUUCGUGAAGGAGCUUGACGGUAUCGUAAGAAUAAGGACCGGCUAACUCCGUGCCAGCAGCCGCGGUAAUACGGAGGGUCCAAGCGUUAUCCGGAAUCAUUGGGUUUAAAGGGUCCGUAGGCGGUUUUGUAAGUCAGUGGUGAAAGCCCAUCGCUCAACGGUGGAACGGCCAUUGAUACUGCAAGACUUGAAUUAUUGGGAAGUAACUA